UUGAACGCUGGCGGCAUGCCUAACACAUGCAAGUCGCACGCGAAAGGGGGCAACCCCGAGUAGAGUGGCGGACGGGUGCGUAACGCGUAGGAAUAUACCUGGUAGUGGGGGACAACCCGGCGAAAGCCGGGCUAAUACCGCAUACGAUCCACGGAUGAAAGCAGGGGACCGCAAGGCCUUGCGCUAUCAGAUUAGCCUGCGUCGGAUUAGCUAGUUGGUGAGGUAAAGGCUCACCAAGGCAACGAUCCGUAGCUGGUUUGAGAGAACGACCAGCCACACUGGGACUGAGACACGGCCCAGACUCCUACGGGAGGCAGCAGUGGGGAAUAUUGGACAAUGGGGGCAACCCUGAUCCAGCAAUGCCGCGUGUGUGAAGAAGGCCUUCGGGUUGUAAAGCACUUUCGAUGGGGAAAAACAAGUCAGACCUAACACGUCUGGCCCUGAUGGUACCCAGAGAAGAAGCACCGGCUAACUCUGU
This 478-nucleotide ribosomal RNA is filed under the name uncultured bacterium. RNAcentral's name for it is "bacterial SSU rRNA". It matches the Rfam family "Bacterial small subunit ribosomal RNA", at positions 29 to 506 of the family's 1533-position model. The record is from RNAcentral.